Molecule: ribosomal RNA, 497 nt
Filed under: uncultured bacterium
Lineage: Bacteria
Description: partial 16S ribosomal RNA
Rfam family: Bacterial small subunit ribosomal RNA
Source: RNAcentral
GAUGAACGCUGGCGGCGUGCCUAAUACAUGCAAGUCGAGCGAACAGACGAGGAGCUUGCUCCUCUGACGUUAGCGGCGGACGUGUGAGUAACACGUGUAUAACCUACCUAUCAGACUGGUAUAACUUCGGGAAACCGGAGCUAAUACCAGAUAAUAUAUUGCACCGCAUGGUUCAAUAGUGAAAGUCGGUUUUUCUGGCUCUUAUAGAGGGAUCUGCGCCGGAUUGGCUAGUUGGUAAGGUAACGGCUUACCACGGGAACGAUGCGUAGCCGACCUGCGAGGGUGGUCGCCCACACUGGAACGGAGACAGCGUCCAGAGUCCUACGGUAGGGACCAGUCGGGAAUGUUACGCAACAGGGGGAAGCCUGACGGAGCAACCGCGAGUGAGUGAUGAAGGUCUUCGGAUCGUAAAACUGUGUUAUUAGGGAAGAACAAAUGUGUAAUGAGCUAUGCACGUAUUGACGGUACCUAAUAAGAAAGCAACGGCUAACUACGUG